Molecule: ribosomal RNA, 292 nt
Filed under: uncultured bacterium
Lineage: Bacteria
Description: partial 16S ribosomal RNA
Rfam family: Bacterial small subunit ribosomal RNA
Source: RNAcentral
GUGCCAGCAGCCGCGGUAAUACAGAGGUCCCGAGCGUUGUUCGGAUUCAUUGGGCGUAAAGGGUGCGUAGGCGGCGGGGAAAGUCUGAUGUGAAAUCCUGGGGCUCAACCCUGGAACUGCAUUGGAUACUUCCUUGCUAGAGUACUGGAGAGGAAACUGGAAUUUACGGUGUAGCAGUGAAAUGCGUAGAGAUCGUAAGGAAGACCAGUGGCGAAGGCGAGUUUCUGGACAGUUACUGACGCUGAGGCACGAAGGCCAGGGGAGCAAACGGGAUUAGAUACCCCGGUAGUCC